Molecule: long non-coding RNA, 598 nt
Filed under: Elaeis guineensis (African oil palm)
Lineage: Eukaryota; Viridiplantae; Streptophyta; Magnoliopsida; Arecales; Arecaceae
Description: long non-coding RNA (EGUI_LNC035980)
Source: RNAcentral
GUGACUGCUGGCGAAGAUGGUAUGAUCUAUUUAUCACGGCCACUUUAUGAUGUUAUAUUAUUGUUUCCAUAAUAUUUAAAAAUGGCAACUUGAUAUAAGAAGUAGUGUUUUACUUAUGCUUGAGCAGGUUUACUGAAGCAUCAUGCAUAGUUGGUUACUGGAAUACUAGAUGUUUAUGUGGUUUUGGUUUGAGAUUUCAGGGACUGUUAAUUUUAGCAUUGUUGACAAGUAGGUUAUUUAUUUUUUUCUUAUGUUUAAUAUAUUUUUAAUGAGAUAUUAUUCUUUCUAUUUUUUAAACUCUUCCAUGUUUAUUCUCUUUAGUAGAUUCCUUUUAGUAGAUCAAAUUUUAUUAUUGGAAAGGUUGUUGUUGUUGUCCAUACCGAUCUUGUGACCUUAGAAAGGGUAAACUUUACUCAGAUAUUCAUAUUAACUUUAUAUUUCAUUAAUUUUAGGCAUUAACAUCAGAUGAUAUGGAGCAAUUAGUUAUGAUGUGUUGAGCAUCAAUUUGUAUAUAUAUUAUUUUUUAUUUUUUAUUUUUUAUUUAUUGCAUCAAAAGCAUGCAUGAGCUAGCAAGUCAUUAAAAUCUCCAUCUCUAUUA